UCUGCCCGCUGGCGGCGUGCCUAAUACAUGCAAGUCGAGCGAACGGACGAGAAGCUUGCUUCUCUGAUGUUAGCGGCGGACGGGUGAGUAACACGUGGAUAACCUACCUAUAAGACUGGGAUAAAUUCGGGAAACCGUAGCUAAUACCGGAUAAUAUUUUGAACCGCAUGGUUCAAAAGUGAAAGACGGUCUUGCUGUCACUUAUAGAUGGAUCCGCGCUGCAUUAGCUAGUUGGUAAGGUAACGGCUUACCAAGGCAACGAUGCAUAGCCGACCUGAGAGGGUGAUCGGCCACACUGGAACUGAGACACGGUCCAGACUCCUACGGGAGGCAGCAGUAGGGAAUCUUCCGCAAUGGGCGAAAGCCUGACGGAGCAACGCCGCGUGAGUGAUGAAGGUCUUCGGAUCGUAAAACUCUGUUAUUAGGGAAGAACAUAUGUGUAAGUAACUGUGCACAUCUUGACGGUACCUAAUCAGAAAGCCACAGCUAACUACGUG
RNAcentral lists this ribosomal RNA (497 nucleotides) under uncultured bacterium. RNAcentral describes it as "partial 16S ribosomal RNA". It matches the Rfam family "Bacterial small subunit ribosomal RNA", at positions 34 to 507 of the family's 1533-position model. The record is from RNAcentral.